Molecule: ribosomal RNA, 787 nt
Filed under: uncultured bacterium
Lineage: Bacteria
Description: bacterial SSU rRNA
Rfam family: Bacterial small subunit ribosomal RNA
Source: RNAcentral
UCGAGGGGCAGCGGGGAGCAAGCUUGCUUGCUCUGCCGGCGACCGGCGCACGGGUGAGUAACACGUAUGCAACCUGCCCUCCGCAGGGGGAUAACCCGGAGAAAUCCGGACUAAUACCGCGUGGUACAUCUGUGGGGCAUCCCACGGGUGUUAAAAGGAAGCGAUUCCGGCGGAGGAUGGGCAUGCGGCGCAUUAGCUUGUUGGCGGGGUAACGGCCCACCAAGGCGACGAUGCGUAGGGGUUCUGAGAGGAAGGUCCCCCACACUGGUACUGAGACACGGACCAGACUCCUACGGGAGGCAGCAGUGAGGAAUAUUGGUCAAUGGGCGGGAGCCUGAACCAGCCAAGUCGCGUGAGGGAAGACGGUCCUAUGGAUUGUAAACCUCUUUAGGCGGGGAGCAAUGCCGGGCACGCGUGCCCGGAGGGAGAGUACCCGCAGAAUAAGCAUCGGCUAACUCCGUGCCAGCAGCCGCGGUAAUACGGAGGAUGCGAGCGUUAUCCGGAUUUAUUGGGUUUAAAGGGUGCGUAGGCGGAUUUUUAAGUCAGCGGUAAAAUGUCCGGGCUCAACCCGGGCCGGCCGUUGAAACUGGGGAUCUUGAGUGGGCGAGAAGUAUGCGGAAUGCGUGGUGUAGCGGUGAAAUGCAUAGAUAUCACGCAGAACUCCGAUUGCGAAGGCAGCAUACCGGCGCCCGACUGACGCUGAGGCACGAAAGCGUGGGGAUCGAACAGGAUUAGAUACCCUGGUAGUCCACGCAGUAAACGGUGAAUGCUAGUUGUCCGGUUCUUU